This is a long non-coding RNA of Dermochelys coriacea (leatherback sea turtle), 134 nucleotides long. RefSeq lists it as uncharacterized. The transcript has 3 exons. The record is from RefSeq and is a predicted model, not a curated record. Lineage: Eukaryota; Metazoa; Chordata; Testudines; Dermochelyidae.
GAGACGGGGCUGUCCCACCCCAGAGGUGGCUGCAUCUCGGCGCCAGGCGAGGGGUCCCUGGAUAAACAGCCCCUGCGCCCUGCCCCAGAGGUGGCUGCAUCUCGGAGGCGGGCGAGGGGUCCCUGGAUAACCAG